CCUACGGGUGGCAGCAGUGGGGAAUAUUGGACAAUGGGCGAAAGCCUGAUCCAGCCAUGCCGCGUGUGUGAAGAAGGCCUUCGGGUUGUAAAGCACUUUCAGUGGGGAAGAAAGCCUUGGGGCUAAUACCCUCGAGGAAGGACAUCACCCACAGAAGAAGCACCGGCUAACUCCGUGCCAGCAGCCGCGGUAAUACGGAGGGUGCGAGCGUUAAUCGGAAUUACUGGGCGUAAAGCGCGCGUAGGCGGUCUGAUAAGCCGGUUGUGAAAGCCCCGGGCUCAACCUGGGAACGGCAUCCGGAACUGUCAGGCUAGAGUGCAGGAGAGGAAGGUAGAAUUCCCGGUGUAGCGGUGAAAUGCGUAGAGAUCGGGAGGAAUACCAGUGGCGAAGGCGGCCUUCUGGACUGACACUGACGCUGAGGUGCGAAAGCGUGGGUAGCAAACAGGAUUAAUACCCGUGUAGUC
This 464-nucleotide ribosomal RNA is filed under the name Vreelandella stevensii. RNAcentral describes it as "partial 16S ribosomal RNA". It matches the Rfam family "Bacterial small subunit ribosomal RNA", at positions 338 to 795 of the family's 1533-position model. Lineage: Bacteria; Pseudomonadati; Pseudomonadota; Gammaproteobacteria; Oceanospirillales; Halomonadaceae. The record is from RNAcentral.